Molecule: ribosomal RNA, 408 nt
Filed under: Advenella incenata
Lineage: Bacteria; Pseudomonadati; Pseudomonadota; Betaproteobacteria; Burkholderiales; Alcaligenaceae
Description: bacterial SSU rRNA
Rfam family: Bacterial small subunit ribosomal RNA
Source: RNAcentral
ACUUAAACCCCUUCCGGGGGUACUACGCGAAAGCGUGGCUAAUACCGCAUACGCCCUACGGGGGAAAGGGGGGGAUCUUAGGACCUCUCACUAUUGGAGCGGCCGAUAUCGGAUUAGCUAGUUGGUGGGGUAAAGGCCUACCAAGGCGACGAUCCGUAACUGGUUUGAGAGGACGACCAGCCACACUGGGACUGAGACACGGCCCAGACUCCUACGGGAGGCAGCAAUGGGGAAUUUUGGACAAUGGGGGAAACCCUGAUCCAGCCAUCCCGCGUGUGCGAUGAAGGCCUUCGGGUUGUAAAGCACUUUUGUCAGGGAAGAAAAGGUUUCGGAUAAUACCCGGAACUGAUGACGGUACCUGAAGAAUAAGCACCGGCUAACUACGUGCCAGCAGCCGCGGUAAUACGA